This 221-nucleotide ribosomal RNA is filed under the name uncultured bacterium. RNAcentral describes it as "partial 16S ribosomal RNA". It matches the Rfam family "Bacterial small subunit ribosomal RNA", at positions 111 to 334 of the family's 1533-position model. The record is from RNAcentral.
UAACGCGUGGGUGACGUACCUAUCGGUGGGGAAUAACUGCCCGAAAGGGUGGCUAAUACCGCAUACGUCCACUGCUUCGUGGCAGUGGGGAAAACCGCAAGGUGCCGAUGGAGCGGCCCGCGUUCGAUUAGCUAGUUGGUGGGGUAACGGCCUACCAAGGCGACGAUCGAUAGCUGGUCUCAGAGGAUGAUCAGCCAGACUGGGACUGAGACACGGCCCAG